Molecule: ribosomal RNA, 117 nt
Filed under: Pteropus alecto (black flying fox)
Lineage: Eukaryota; Metazoa; Chordata; Mammalia; Chiroptera; Pteropodidae
Source: RNAcentral
GUCUACAGCCAUGCCACCCUGAACGUGGUGAUCCCUCUGACCUUGGAAGCUAAGCAGGGUCGGACCUGGUUAGUACUUGGAUGGGAGACCAUCUAGGAAGACCAGGUGCUGUAGGCG